ACGGUCAGGGUAAAAACCACUCAAAAUCAAUUCCAAAACCACCUUAGGGGGAAAUUCAUCCGGUUUUAAAGAUUUUGAUGGGCUGAUUGAUUCGGUAUUAGAAUUGAGGGAGCAACAGGCCUAGUGGACCAGAACUAGCUUGGGCCUGGCUAAGCUAAGCCCAAAGUUGGAGGCUCGGACGGAAAAGCCACUACAGUCCGUCCGUCCUCCCUCCCUCCCCAAGAAAAGAAAACUCCGUCCCAAGAAGAAACUCGCCGCCGUCUCCUCUCCUCUCUACUAGUACGUACUUGGUUCCCAAGAAGAAACACCACCAAGCACCCACCCCGUGUAGUAGAAAUAGAAAAAGUGCUUCGAAUUCCGAUCCGCAUCCGCCGACACGAUGUUUCUCACGAGGACGGAGUACGACCGUGGGGUCAACACCUUCUCCCCGGAGGGGCGGCUGUUCCAGGUCGAGUACGCCAUUGAGGCCAUCAAGUUGGGCUCCACCGCAAUCGGCUUGAUGACUAAGGAUGGUGUUGUACUGGCUGUUGAGAAACGUGUCACCUCACCGCUGCUGGAACCAAGCAGUGUGGAGAAAAUCAUGGAAAUUGAUGAGCAUGUCGGCUGUGCCAUGAGUGGCCUUAUUGCUGACGCCAGAACACUGGUUGAGCAUGCUCGUGUUGAGACUCAGAAUCAUAGGUUCUCAUAUGGGGAGCCAAUGACAGUAGAGUCUACCACACAAGCUAUCUGUGACUUGGCUUUGCGCUUUGGUGAAGGUGAUGAAGAAUCAAUGUCACGGCCAUUUGGAGUCUCUCUCCUUAUUGCUGGUCAUGAUGAAAAUGGACCCAGCUUGUACUACACAGACCCGUCGGGGACCUUCUGGCAGUGCAAUGCCAAGGCAAUUGGGUCGGGCUCUGAAGGAGCUGAUAGCUCAUUACAAGAUCAGUACAACAAGGAACUGACCAUCGCUGAGGCAGAGACCAUAGCCCUUUCUAUCCUGAAGCAGGUUAUGGAAGAAAAGGUGACCCCGAACAACGUUGACAUUGCGAAGGUCUCCCCUAGCUACCACCUCUACACCCCUGCAGAGGUUGAAGCGGUCAUCGCGAGGUUGUGAAGGAUUGCCACUUUGUGAGACAGCCUCUUGUAUUCCCAUGAACCCUAUAAAGCACAAUGAACGUAUGAACUCUGUUGUGGGUUUGGGUUGUCUGCCUACUGUUGAAGGGAUAUUAGUGCCUGCUUGGGCGUUGCAUCUGAUUCUCAUCUCCCAGCCCAGUCAUUUGUUUGUACUCCCUUUGUUCCGAUUUAUUUGUUGUUGGGGGAUUUUAGUACAUUUUCCGUUACGUUACAAGUUAUCUUCGUUUUCCCAAAUUGCCCUCCCUCUUGCACAGCCACUCGCUCUCUCCCCACCCGCUCGCUCGCUGGCCAGUCGCUCAAUCUCUUCGCCGCCUCCCUCUCCCUCUCGUCAGUGUCCUCCUCACCGCCGCCUUGCUCCUCACCGCCCCGAUUUGUACCCCUAACCCUAGCAACCCGCCUGCUAGCUCUUGGUCAAAGGCUCGAUCUGUGGGCGGUGGUGCUCGAUCCGUGCUGGAGCAGCGGGAGAAGGACGGCGGUGCAGCGGGCUUCUAUUCUUCGCUGCUGUCGACAAGCAGCCGCGGCCUGUUGUCCCGCGCGCCCUCGUCAGUGGCCGCUACAGCGGGUUUCUAUUCUUCCCUGCUGUCGAGAAGCAGCCGCGGCCCGCGCGCCCUCGUCCGUGGCCGCUACCCGAGCUGCCCUCGAGGUGUCGCCGACGACCUUGAGGAGGAAGGAGGAGUGCUUGGGCCGGCGCUUCGUCUCCUCCACCCGGCGCCACAUGGCCGCCACGCGCUCCUCGGUGGCCCUCUAAUCCCACCUCCAUGGCUAACAUCGUGCUGCUGCCGUCUUCAUCUUCGUGGUCGUCCUUGGCGCGCUUGCCUUCGGUGCCGCUGCUUCGACGGACGAUGUGGUGCAGGAGGUGCGUCUGGUCGCGGAGGAAGGAGGUGUGCGUCUGACUGAAGCAGAGGGAGGACACCGCCUGCGCUGGAGCACCGGAGAAGCGUCACCGUCGUUGUCCUCUCCAUGUCCCGUGUUAGGAGAAACGAUUUCUGCCUUCAUCAAUUGUUGAGCAACAAGGACAGUGAUCAAGCAAGCAGUGAGUGGAUGAAUCAUCUGGUAAGGGAGUGCGCAGGGCUUCAGUCAAUUGGUAAGCAAUUUCUGUUGAUGCUGCCGUGAGGUUAAUGUGUACACAUGGAAAGAUUGACCAAACUGCUGGAAAGAGAUAGGAGUAAGUUGGAAAGGAAGGAUUAACCUCUGCCGGUAUUCAUGGAUAACUCUUGGGAAGAUAACAUUAAGAACUCAUUUGAGCUCUUUGUUCUUCCCAUAAAAUCAGAAGGUUCUGUUGAUGCUGCCGUGAGGUUAAUGUGUACACAUGGAAAGAUUGACCAAACUGCUGGAAAGAGAUAGGAGUAAGUUGGAAAGGAAGGAUUAACCUCUGCCGGUAUUCAUGGAUAACUCUUGGGAAGAUAACAUUAAGAACUCAUUUGAGCUCUUUGUUCUUCCCAUAAAAUCAGAAGGCAGAUGUAAUUCUUUCUUUCCACACUCGAUUCCUUCAUCAGUGUCGAUGAAUUAUAUAACUCCAUAUUCUGUAUGUACAUAUAAAUGCAGUUAGUGCUUCCUAAAUUCAGUAUAUUUUGAGUGUGGAGUAGAAGUGUAAUGAGUACUCCAGUAUAUAGUGUAUUUUGGAUUACACUAGAUAUAAAAUCAGGCCUUCAGUACACUAGUUCACCAGCUAGUGUUUCAGUACUUCGUUCUGCAGGAUUACUUACUCCUACAGGUCUGCAGGAUUAUUUUGGGUGCUACUGAAUUUAUAGUGCAUAUAAAUUUAUUGAUCUCAAAUGGUGUAUUGACCUCAUUCAUCAGGAUACAUCGUUUUUUUAGAAAGUUCUUUAAAUAUCCAAGUAUUGAUCUCAAAUGGUGUGUUGAAUUUGUUUCCAUUGACUCACAGAAAUUUUAGGCAUGUUUGCCAUUGGACAAAUGGUGUAUAACAAUGAUCAUCAUCUCUAAAUUGGAUAAUUGGACAACAUCAGCAGGAGGACAGCAACAACAACAUUUUCUCAUGCAUUACAGACUAUUGUACCUAAAAGCUUCGAUGAAUUCUCCCAAUUCUACUGUAAGGCGAAAACUGAUAAGAAUUGGGAGCAGCGAGGAGUACCUGGCGAGGACUAGGCGGGGGAGUAGCGAGGACCGGGCUGGGCAGCGUGGUUGAGAGGACCAGGUUGGUGCAGCGAGGACCAAAUUGGGGGCGGCGGCGGCGGCAGCGGCAGCCAGGCUGGGGCGGCGGCGAUCAAAUUGGGAGCAGUGGCGACCAAAUUGGGUAAGAACGACGUGGAAGAGACUGGCGAAGGAGGAGGAGGUGGAGGGCGGAGGAGGAGGUGGCCGGACUAGCAGCUGGAGGAGGUGGAGGGCGGAGGAGGAGGUGGCCGGCCUGGCAGAGGAAGACGACGACUCUCGUUUUCAGAUCAGGGGUAUUUUUGUACUUUUGCUUGUUUUCACCUGGUCGGAAAAAAACCCCAGCGACAACUAUUUCGGAACGGAGGGAGUAGCACUAAGACGUUGUGUGACCAAAAAUAAUUACUACACAUAUUUUUCAGCAUUUCCAGCAAGUGCGUAGGUAUCACUGGCUGCAUUUGUGUGCAUUUGGUUCGUAAACAUCUCUAUUGUUAAAAGGGAGUCUGUUUGGUUGCUCGCAUUAAACUCUGUCAGGC
This 3758-nucleotide ribosomal RNA is filed under the name Triticum aestivum (bread wheat). RNAcentral describes it as "partial small subunit ribosomal RNA". Lineage: Eukaryota; Viridiplantae; Streptophyta; Magnoliopsida; Poales; Poaceae. The record is from RNAcentral.